Long non-coding RNA from Sinocyclocheilus grahami, 391 nucleotides. RefSeq lists it as uncharacterized. The transcript has 4 exons. The record is from RefSeq and is a predicted model, not a curated record. Lineage: Eukaryota; Metazoa; Chordata; Actinopteri; Cypriniformes; Cyprinidae.
CUUUAAAACCCCAUUAAAACCCCAAGUGUAUGUUGCAGCAACACGGUUAUUAGUUUUAGUUUUGUGUGCGUCGCUGUCCGCUGCUCCUGACGCACCAAUUUCAACGCCUUUUCCAGCAGCGAUUAUUGUGAGCUUACAGAUCAAGAGGAUGACAGCUCGAGUGUAUUGCUCGUUGAUUGCUGUUUUGUGUCUGUCUGGAUAUUUGAGCAUUACAGAUGCUACUCCAGGAAAAACCACAGCAAAGCCUGGAGAGUGUCCACCCCAAUCAUUUGGAAUAAAAUCGUGUAACACGUCCUGUAACAGUGACUCUAACUGUCCCAACAAUAAGAAGUGCUGCAGCAAUGGAUGUGGACAUUACUGUACAGCUCCAUAUAAAGACUGAAUGCGAUUA